UGGGGAAUAUUGGACAAUGGGCGCAAGCCUGAUCCAGCCAUGCCGCGUGAGUGAUGAAGGCCCUAGGGUUGCAAAGCUCUUUCACCGGUGAAGAUAAUGACGGUAACCGGAGAAGAAGCCCCGGCUAACUUCGUGCCAGCAGCCGCGGUAAUACGAAGGGGGCUAGCGUUGUUCGGAUUUACUGGGCGUAAAGCGCACGUAGGCGGACUUUUAAGUCAGGGGUGAAAUCCCGGGGCUCAACCCCGGAACUGCCUUUGAUACUGGAAGUCUUGAGUAUGGUAGAGGUGAGUGGAAUUCCGAGUGUAGAAGUGAAAUUCGUAGAUAUUCGGAGGAACACCAGUGGCGAAGGCGGCUCACUGGACCAUUACUGACGCUGAGGUGCGAAAGCGUGGGGAGCAAACAGG
RNAcentral lists this ribosomal RNA (404 nucleotides) under Actinomycetes bacterium. RNAcentral's name for it is "Actinobacteria bacterium partial 16S ribosomal RNA". It matches the Rfam family "Bacterial small subunit ribosomal RNA", at positions 355 to 776 of the family's 1533-position model. Lineage: Bacteria; Bacillati; Actinomycetota; Actinomycetes. The record is from RNAcentral.